Long non-coding RNA from Drosophila nasuta, 2724 nucleotides. RefSeq lists it as uncharacterized. The record is from RefSeq and is a predicted model, not a curated record. Lineage: Eukaryota; Metazoa; Arthropoda; Insecta; Diptera; Drosophilidae. The transcript is spliced from 3 exons.
UGUCAUCAGCAAUUCUAAAAUUUCCCAGCUCAUUUCUAACCCAAUAACUCAGCUGAUGAGCUCAAACUUGACCAAUUAAUUGCGUUAUCGAUUUGAAUAACUUGUUUGGUGAAGUGCUGCAAAAUACUUGUUGAGUUAUUAGUUGAUGUGAGUUGCAAACUAAAAUGCUUGUGCAGUUUAAGAAUUCAUUUAUGGGUCACAGCGAGUCACAAAUCACUUGAGAGACAUCCGGCUCAAAACUUUACGAAGAGUACCUUACACCUAAGUAAUGGCAACGCCAACGCCAACAACUCGAUGACGAUGAUGGUCAAAGCCGAACAAACCGAAAAACCAAAAGCUGAAGCCAUGGCCAAUGCCAAUGUUGAUGGUGAUGGCAUUCAUCGAAGCGUGGCCGGGGCCAUCACUUGGCUCGUUUGCUCAUCGUCAAGACAAAUGGAGAAUAAACAAAUUACUUUCGGCCUUUUUUGCAAUUCCAAAAACGUCACUGCAUAUUCUCUGGACAAGCAAGUCCGACUAGGCCAGGCCAACAACAACAACAACGAGAACAACAACAACAACAGUUGGUUGUGUGUCGUGUUUGUCCACUUGCAGUUGAUUUUCUUGUGGCCUUCUUCUCUACUGUUGUUGUUGCUGUUGUUGUUGUCGAUGUUGCAAGCAACGCCUCCUCUGCUAAACUUUUAAAACGUCAAUCAAUUGUCCAAAGUUGUCGGAGUUGUCUGACAUGUUUUAAAUUAACUGACGAAGACGAACCCAACACACACACACAUUCACACACGAUUUAUGGCCCCAUACUCAAGAUGGCGUAUCCCCCCGCUCCUCUUCCCCUUCCCCUUCCCUACACAACUUUUUGCCUGGCCAAAAUCCAGAAAUACAGCUAAAAAACAUACGUGUGUCAAGACACAACUUGCAGCAGGCAACAACAAACACACAAAGAGACAACACAGACGGACAACGAACAACGACGAACAACGUCCAGCAGCAGAAGCAAUCGCCAUGAAAAUGGCCACAUCACUUGAUAUACUAUACUCUAUCUCUAUCUCUAUAUAUAUUUAUAUAUAUAUAUAUUUGUGUAUAUAUAAAUUGUUGUCGUACGAGUUUUCGGCCUGCAUUGAAAACAUGGAUUACGUGGUACUUGUUAAUGCAACGCAGAACGAAGACUAGAUAAAUGCUUUUUGCUCAAUUGCCCCAUCAAAACGAAACGGUAGCGAACACAUUGUGCAGAGAUGCAUAAAUAAAUUCUGAUUUAAAUAUGGGCAAAGCAAAGCAAACUAAUCGAUUGAUGCAAAGUUCGAGGAUUCUAGCAACAGUUGGCAUUUAAGGAAAAGAAGCGAGUGAAUUUUCGUGCAUUUGUCUACAACAAUUUGAUUGCUUGCAACAAGCGUCGAACUCGUUGCAAAUGCAUGUUUGAUAGGUACAAGUUCUCCGACUCGUUACUGUCUGUCUCGUUACUCCCUUAUUCAUUGCGUGCUUGCAGUCAAAACAAACAGACUACUCGUACAACUUGUGCAACUGUUUGGGAAUGUGUUUAGAUGGCGACGCUGAGACGCAGAGCAGAAGGACAGCUCUGAAGGACAACAUGAACCGGACUUCUGACGGAUGAACAUCGAGAUGGACGGUCAGUUGGACAGCAUGGCAGAGCAGAGAAUAAAAUAGAAGAGGAUAGGAAAGGAAUUGAAAGUAAAGGACUAGACAGGACACACAAGUGCAGCUGUAUUAUUCCGCUGAGCAGUGUAAAUGACUGCAAAAUGUGAAAAUAAUAAUGGACUAAACACUAAAAUUUACAACUUAAGGCAGAUGGACGAUAGACAGAGGGAGAGAGAUAGAAUGAGAGAGAGAAUAAGAGAGGCGCCGAAACUCAAGGGAAGCCAAAGGACAUUCCAACAGUGGGAAAGGAAGAUGAAGAAGAUGGUCUGACUACUGCAAUUAGAUGGCCAGUUGAAUAGACAUUUUGGACAGCUAAACGUUUGUGCUCGAUGGAUAGAUGAAUGGAUGGAUGGAUAGACGGAAUGGAUGGAUGGAUGGAUGGAUGAAGAGUUGGGUUAAAUAGGUAGACAAGUAAUUGCAACGUACGAAAGCUGUUUGAAUUGCCAGCCAGCAUGAACAUACUCGCAAGAACUCGGAGAACUUUGAUUGACAAACAGUUUGGAGGGAAGGAAUGGAGAAUUUUGCGGAGGGAACAGAAGAAGGAGAAAGCUUUCCCAACAGAUGUUUAAGCAAUUGAAGUUAGGGAGUAUGAAGUGAAGCAAGUUAAUUGUGUUGAGUAGUCUGAAGGCAAUCUCUAAAUUGAUACGGAGUUCCAUUAUUUUUAUUUAAUUGACAAUUGACAACAACACACAUAACAUACACACAACACAAGCAAGCAAAAUGGCAGUGAACGAAAGCUAUUUUGAUAGAAAAUGAAAAAUACAUGGCGAACAAUUAUUUUAUUGCUGAAAGCAAACUGAAUGGCCUAAGCCAAAGGCACAGGAUAACCCAAGGACAGCAGCACAUAAAACCCUUCCAAUUAAAUGCAUUUGCAUGCCUGUCAGUGUCAUCAGUGGAACACACACACAUACACACAACACACAAAACACACUAAAAUAAAACUUAAAAUGUCAACUAUUUUGCCAAGUAAAAGAUUUUUGCUAAAUUUUUGCAUCGAAGUACUCUCACUCGCUCCUUCGCUGUGUUCACUUGAGAAUCACAAAUGAAAUAAAAUAUUUUAUGUAUUGUACAUGACAAAAA